UGGGGAAUAUUGCACAAUGGAGGGAACUCUGAUGCAGCGACGCCGCGUGAGUGAUGAAGGAAUUCGUUUCGUAAAACUCUGUUCUAUGGGAAGAAAAGGACUGUACCAUAGGAGAAAGCUCCGGCUAAAUACGUGCCAGCAGCCGCGGUAAUACGCAUGGAGCGAGCGUUGUCCGGAAUUAUUGGGCGUAAAGGGUGCGCAGGCGGCUUUACAAGUUGGAUGUGAAAUAUUGUGGCUCAACCACAAACGUGCAUCCAAAACUGCAAAGCUUGAGUUAAGGAGAGGUAAGUGGAAUUCCUGGUGUAGCGGUGGAAUGCGUAGAUAUCAGGAGGAAUACCGGUGGCGAAGGCGACUUACUGGACUUAAACUGACGCUCAGGCACGAAAGCGUGGGGAGCAAACAGG
RNAcentral lists this ribosomal RNA (404 nucleotides) under Fusobacteriota bacterium. Its description in RNAcentral is "Fusobacteria bacterium partial 16S ribosomal RNA". It matches the Rfam family "Bacterial small subunit ribosomal RNA", at positions 355 to 776 of the family's 1533-position model. Lineage: Bacteria; Fusobacteriati; Fusobacteriota. The record is from RNAcentral.